RNA transcript from Cuculus canorus (common cuckoo), 10668 nucleotides. It is a transcript of the gene named ciliary associated calcium binding coiled-coil 1, with no coding region annotated. The transcript has 17 exons. NCBI's taxonomy places the organism in Eukaryota, Metazoa, Chordata, Aves, Cuculiformes, Cuculidae. The record is from RefSeq and is a predicted model, not a curated record.
AUUUCAGUAUAAUGUCAGUUUAAAAUUUUAUUUGAGCAUGACAAUUAAUGUGCUGCAGGACCUGUAAAUAAGAUUUUGAACAGAAGAAUUGCAGAUUGCUGCUUAAGCCAAGAAUAUGGUAAAAAACUAGUUUUGUUUUGAGUUUUAGAAGGCAUUUGCAAAUCAGAUUUUGGGAAGAUCCUUGCACUGUAUGUUUUUGUUGUCUUGAAGGCCCAAGAACUCACCUAGACAUUAACCUGUGAAUUGGCAUAGUUCUAACUCCUGGAUCAAUUAAGGUAUGGUAUCCUAAAUUUUACAUUGCCUCUAUAUACCAGUGUGUAACUGCUUAAUAGGCCCUUUCCAGCUGCUAACAGUAAUACAGUUCUCUGAUUCUUAUUAAAAGCAGAACCUCCUGGAUUAUGCUUGAAUUUGAAACCAGCCCAUCUUCAUCUAGGAAUAGUCAAGUAAAUGUUGACUUCAGCUGACUGCUAGGAAUUGUAAUCAGACUGAGAUGCUACAAGGUGUGUCUCUAGACUUGCCCAUGACUAAACCAGGAGUUUUCUAAAGCUCCCCAGCAUCUAACUUCGUUAGUGAGACUAUUGUAAAAAAAGUUCAAAUGAAAUUCAGAGGUGUAUGGUAACAACUGAUGGUAUGUUAGAUUUCCAAUUGCUAAACUUGUCUUUCAGGGACAGCUACGGUGUGUGCAUCUGUCCUAAGUUUUAUUGUAUCUAAGCACCACGGUGCUCCUUUACUUUUGGUUAGGGGCCAAGGCUUGCAGGAAAGUGUGGAAUGGUGGUGAAGGAAUGUAUUUAAGUUCCUAAAUCGGGUAUGUGAAAGGAACAAAAUGAGCAGUUCAUAAGCAGCAAGGUUUGUAAGAACCUUGUCCUACUGCGGCCAAAGAUUGAGACUUCAAAAUGAAUAGUGGAGGUGAGGACAUCUUGUUCCUCACCUGCUUAUUGUGUCUAUUGAUGAGUAGUUGAAAGGAUUAGUGUCAAGAUCUUGUUAACAAGUAGCAUUUUAAUGUGUAAGCAUCAGUUGUGCUAUUAGGGUUGUUCUCUAAAGGGUGGUUCUAAAUCUACAGAAGUAUCUGGAUGCUGUCAGGUGAAGGGAAUAGUUUAGCAGUGGAGAGCCAGUUGGGAGAGAUGGUUUUGAAACUGUUUGUACAGAAAGUUGCUAAAUUGAAGGCAGAGGGAAAGAAGAUUGCUAUGGCUGACUCCUUUUUAUUAACACCAGUGAUGGGAUGCAAUUUCAAGAUAAACUAAACUAGGGAAAUAAAUUAUCUGCUUUUGAAUGCAAUAAAUUGAUGAGUUUAUAGGCCAAGGGAUAGUAUGGCUGGUGCUAGCUGGUUACAUCAGUGUAGAAAAAUGGGGGCAAACCUGCUACGGACUGCUCUGAAAAGCAGGAGUUAAUCUGUUCAAGCAAAUACUGGGGACCUUAACUUCAGUUGGUCUUUUUGCCAUGGACAGACUUUUAUUUAAGUUCUUUGUGUAGAGAAGACAACUUUAGAGAGGCAAAGUCAGGUUUCUAUUGCUUGCAAUACUGAUAAAGCCCAAUUUUUUUGUCACCUAAGUACUGCUGUGUCUUAGUUUCAUGUGAUACAGUGAACAUUUUUGCCUCUCAACUAAAAGAUUUCAGUACUAAAUUUUCUAAAGGAAGCUUCUUUUUAAACAAAUAUUUACUACAGGUCUUCAAUUUUCUUGUCUACCCCAGUACAGUUACAACUGGUGUCAUAUAGCUGUGGUUGUACCUCUAAACAAUUAUAGUACUAGUAAACAGAACAGAAAGGAGCAUAACACUGUCCAUCUGCAUCUGAAGUUAGAUUAAGGUGGUGAAUAUAAUCCCCAAAGAUGUGACACCUUAAUUUCCCCAUUCUCAAAUACAGUGCAAAGAUAUUAAUGAUGAAAAUAAAUUAUUUUAAGGAAAAAUAAAUCAUCUGCUCUUCAUAACUGCCCUGCUGUCUAGACCUAGUAUGUUGAAGGUUUGUGGUGUUAAAGUUUUGGCCACCUGAAACUCCUUUUUAUACUGGUGAAAACCUGAAGUGCCUUGACUGUGUUUACCCUGCCAUGGGCGUUGAUUUGCAGCCCUGUUUAUGGAUAGUGCCUUGGUGGGUAGUGAGAGAGUUGAGUUGCUAUAGUACAACAGUACCUUUGUCCUUCAGUUUAGGGCAUUGUACCACUUGGCAGGGUUUCACUGGUUCAUAAUUACUAGGAUGUUUAGGCAAUUAUAUUAUACUAAGCUAACAGUUGUGUAUGGGCCCACCAGACAAUAGUUAGCAUACUUUUCAUAGCUGCAAAUAGAGAAUGAUUGAAAAUAAAAGACAUUGUACCUUUUCUGACAUGACUAGAAGUAAACACAUGAAGUGUGUCCCUUCCCCCUACCCCCUUGCCUGUAAGUGCCAUAGAUUCAGUACUAAAUUACUUAAUAAGUGAAGCUCUUAACUUAAUUACUGUUAUUACUUGUAAAUAAUGUCACUACAUUGAAUUUAAAACUACCAUUAUGGUCUUCUGUAGUGACAAUGAGCAUCUGUAAAAGCUUCACAAGCUUGUAGUAGCUUUCCUUUGUAUGUUGUAAGAACUGAGGGGAGAAUUACUUUAAAAGCAGUCUGCUCUUGGUUUAAAUUAAGUUGCAUAAUGUUGAAUCAGUAUUGCUUAUGAUGCUGUGGCUGCUGCUCCACAAUGUGUUUUCUACUAGAGCUCAGGCAAACCCCAGCAGAGAAUGACAAACUUAACUUGAUCUUUUAAUUAACUUACUUGUCCUCCAUCCCAUUAAAAAGUAGUGCAGAUGAAAAAGUUGAUUGCAUAUAAGAAUAGGAUUUUACACAGGAUCUGAUUAGUUUAGGUGGUUUUAAAGCUUUCAAGUGCUAGCAAGCUUUUGCUUUUCAAAAUAGCCAGGCACCUACUAGAUACUUGUGAACUCAGCUCAGCUGCUUUUAGUUUACUCAGACAUAUAUUCUCACUAAAAUGAGUUAUUACCAUCUGCUGCUGUUAAAAUAAGUGGCUCUUAAAAGAGAGACUUUACAGAGAACAAAGAACAGAGGAAGAACUUUACUUUCUAAAUCCUUGAGAGGGGUAAAUACUCUAAAAGCAGGUGUAAAAAAAACCUGUGCCUCUUCAUGUGCUGAUGCAGAUGUCAAAGGUCAGAGGUGGUCCUUCCUGGACCUAGCAAUGGCUUUAUGCUGGUGUGUUCAAUGAAUUCCUCUUUAAUUUGAACAGGUAGAGCAGGGUUUGAUCAGCAUGCUCUGCUGCAGACCUAAUCUGUUUCAAAGUUUAAUGUACUAACUUCUCUCAGUGGGAGCUGUGAAGCACCUCAUGCUGGAAAGACUUUAUGCCUCUGGAAAGCAGAAAUUCCUCAAAGCUGAGUCAGGAACAUCUUCCCCUUGUCCAAAUGGUCUGUGUGCAGCUUUUGGCACCCAAGCUGCAGCUGGCUGACCUGUCCUCUAACCAACUACUUCUUGUUCCCAAAGCAGUGUCUUAUUAAGGCUUGGUCUGAUGAGACUCUUCUUAGCACUGUCAGCAAGUCGCAGCUGACUGAUUCGUAACCUGCUUGGUUGGCUCUGCCAGGCUGUCUAGUAAUAUUUGAUUGGGGGUGGGGGGAAUAAAAACCCAACCCUUGUUCACAGUUUACCUAUGUACCCAGCUCUGACAGAGCAAGUAAGCAUGGUAAUGCAUAAUCCCUGUCCUUCACCAGGUGGAUUAUAUCUGCACCUAGAGGAUCAGGUAAUGUCAGCCUUCGGUGCUGCAGAAAUGUGUUGAAUGCCUGUGGGAACCCAAGUUGCAAUUAGUGGUAAUUUGUCGGUAAGAGGAAAGGGCCGUUCUCAAUACAGGCUGCUAAAGAAAAGCUUCAACAUUUAAUGCAACUGCAGUUACCAGAACCAGAAGAGUGUAUGUACUGUGACUGGCAAAGCUGAGUCCACUGGAGCACCGUGCAGUUUACCAGGAAAUAAGAAUAUUAUGGGUUGCUUCACACUGUGUGCAGUUAGUGCCAAAGGGAAUAAGGUUAGGGUAAUGAUGUCUGUGACAAAAGGAAGGAGGUUAAUUAUUAAAAAAAAUCUUAUUAAAUGAAGGAAAAUGCUGUACACCUCUGUGCAAUUAAAGUUGGAAAAUGCCCUUUAUGCAUAAGCUGGGUUCUAACUGAAGGCUAAAGCUGCUGUUAACUAAAUCAAUAGAGCAGCUCAGAGUGGUGCCUGGCUUUUAGCGGGUGAAUAGGCACUGCCUUGGGACAGUCCUGCAGCAGCUGGUAAAUGCAUGUUUGAUCCAAUUCCCUUGGUGGUAAAGGAGAACUGACUUCAUCUUUUCAUUGCUAUGUAUCAGUCUCUUUUCAGCAUGGAUAUAAUCAAUUUUCUCCAGGAGAGAAGGAAUGUCUAGCAAUGGUGACAUUGCUAAAAGAGAUCGUGUAAACAUCCUCUCUCUUUAUUAAUUACCUAAGCAACCUCCUGUUUGUCCUGGAACAUGCACUACGACGAGGUGCUCUUUUGCUAUUUUGAUGAAGAAGCACGAGGGGCUGUGGCUAUUCUUUGAUAUUCCUCACCUAGACCUUCUGGCUGAUCACUGCAGAAUUAUCACAUCAUCAUACAAAUGAUCAAUGCUUUGAAUCCAAGAGGGAAUCAAAUAUAAAAGAAAACUGCAUAUGCACAAUUUCAGAAUUUUAAAUGGGAGCGGCUGCUAAAAGACUCAUAGGAAAAUCCUGCUAUAUACUGAGAUUGUUUUAAAGAAUUAUGGGAAAUGACAACAGCAGAACUAAAGUUCGAUUUUUCACAGAUGAAACUACAAAAAGCAUGGAGCAAUGUAAUCCGGUCAGACAAGUGGCCUGCACCAUCAAAGUCCUGUAAAGCAUCAUGUACAGCUGUGACCAUUUUUCUCCUUCCAACAUGGACUUGUGUGAUACAGCAGGCUGGGGGGGGCCCAGACACCAUGCGCUGAAGAGCUUCAAUCAAAGAUGGAAAGAGGAGGAAGAAAGUGCUCCCUCUGAGAUACUUGUGCUGGGCGAUACUGGCCUUCGCAAAACAACCUCGGAAACCUGAACUCUGGUUGCUUCUCAGAUAAGUAGUAUAGCACUUGUUGUGCAACACAGGGUAAGGCGACAUUUUGAAAUACAGUCUUUUUAAAUUAUACAUGCUGGAAGUGGCAGUUUCAGGGAACCAUUGCAUCUAACACAGCCACAUCAGUGGAGAAGAAGGAGCUCUGUAGCAGGACCUGUUUUUCUCUGAUCUAAACUGUCUAUGACCGUUAGCAGUGAUAGGAAAUCUACUGUGGUUAGCUGUAGUAGGAAAGCACUAGAUCAAAGCUUUAAGAUCACCAGUUCCAUGUUGCACUUUGUCCUGCAUUUAAAGGAAAUUAAAAAGCUGCCUUAGAUACUCAUAUGCAUACAAAUGGGGGGUUUGUAAGCAUGAAGGAUCCCCAUGAAAUUAGAAGGAAUGGCUCAACACUACUGUGUAACCUUUUUUUGUUGGUAUCUGUUUUAUAUCUAACCUUUGUGAUACUGUCUGUGUAAAAAUUUAAAUUGAAAAGUAGGAAGUUUAGGAGCUCACUACUGGAAAUGUGGGCUGAGCUUCAAUCAAUGCCUAGCUUCAAUCAACCUGCUCAGUGCAGGUUUUGUGUAAGAAAGAAUACAGUCCUUUCAUAUGAGUAAGAGAAAUUGAAUUAGCUCCUUCUAAGCGCUUUGAGCCUCCAUGUAUUUUACAUUGAAAAUGUUCAAGGAAAUCAGUGAGGAUUUUCAGCACCAGAGGAACGCAAGGUUAAGUCCAAACUCUACCUGUUACCAACUAGAUAACAUCAGAAUGAAUGUGUACAAUGUUAAAUUGCAUCCAAAUAUCACAUUUAAUUCCCAGUUUUUACACCUUACUGCAUAUGGUGCUUGCAGCUCUGAAUAAUAUUGUUAUUUAGUUAGAUUUAUAUACGCAGUAAAAGGGAGAGUAACUGCAGUUGUACUGCUGUCAGCUACAGAACAUGGCACAAAUUGUAGGAAAUCACAGUGUGGGCUCUACACAGAGCUAAGCCAUUCUGUAAAAUACUCUGACUAAUUCUGCAAAACACUGCAGGAUCCAACUCUCUGAACCUCAUUCAAACAGAUUUCUCACUCCUUCUGGGAGUGCAAUGUGUGCGUAUGUGCUUGUGCGUGUGUGAAUGAGGGUCAGGGUGUUUGAGUAGGAAGAGGAGUCACAGAUAUGUUGAAUCUCAAACUAUAAAUUGGAAUCUUAAUGGGUAAUCAGCAGGUUCUCGUCUCUUAUGACCCAGCUAAGACACAGGUACUGUACUUAGUGGUUUGCACAUUUUAAGAAACUGAUGAUGACAACCUUCAGAAAAUGGCAAACUGCUCAGAAACAGUAGCAGACUUUGAAACAGCUGCAGAAAUCCCAAGAGGUCCUUUCUUUAUGUGGAGCACUCCAAAGAAACUGUUUUGUCAUACCAGCUUUCUCUCCAGCAUAGCUUAGUUUAUUACUCUUAAAAGUUAAAAAAAAAUAAAAGAGAGAAAAUAGAAUAGGACAAAGAUGAGAAACAAGAAAUACUGAUGUAUACCAUAAUAAAAAUGCAGUCCAAUCUUCCUCCACUUACUGUAGUUUGCAAAUUAUUCCUGAGUUGUACAUAGCAUGAAUAAGUAAGGCCAGACCUUUAGCUGAAGGAACUCUGUAUCCCUCCGUCAGUUCCAACAGAUGUGCUGAUUUACACCUGCUGACACUGGAGCUACAGGAGUUGGUGCUGACAUUCUUGGACUGUUUUGAUUUAAAUAUUUAGUUCAAACAUAUUUUUGAAGAAGCUGAAAAAGUUGGGAUGUUGUUUGGGUAACUGCAGGUAUACCCACAUCAUGCUAUCCUUAUAAUUGUUAUUGAAACGGUGCCUACAGCAGUUACAGGCACUAUUUCAGUUAGGAAAAUGGUAAGAUCUAAAUUAAGAUGGGCAUAGAAACAUUGCUUCAUGGUGCGUGAUGUUCCUAAGACAUUGCCUCAUACAAUCUCUCCACACAGGCCUAGAGGUGGUGAUUACUGGAUGGGGAGGGCAGUCAGGGGCAUCAGCCCUGAGACAGCAAUGCCUCAGACCUCCUCCCCUGCCUUCUCACUGGGAGUGGUGGUCUCCCAGACCCCAUGGCACCGAUGGUGUACUCAACGCCCCUGUGCCAGCCUUACAAACAUCCCCCUCUCUUUGCUAUGUGAACUGCAGGCUGAUGGACUGCAAAGAACUGAGGAGGUCGGUGGGACCAGGAGACUGAUGGACUGCAAAGAACUGAGGAGGUUGGUGGGACCAUGAGGCUUAUGGACUGUGAAGAACUGAGGAGGAGGAAGACCAAGGUCGGGACGCUAUGGGUAGAAAGAAGAUUAUUGAUCGGAUGUUUCUCUCUCUUUCCCAAAUUGCUGCUUUGUCAGAGCAAAAUGUAGAAGGAGUUCAAAAAAUGCUGGAAGAAAUUCUGAAUUUUAAACAAUUAAAGAUGUCUUUGAGAGAAGCUGUUUUGCUAGAUUAUUAUACUGCGGGAUUUUGCUGGGCUAAAGGAAUGAACUUCAGUCUUAUUCAGCUUUCAGGCUUCAUGGAUCUAUUAAAUUUCCUAUUGGAGAACCUCCGUGACAAACAUAUGACCCUAGGAGAUAAUUUAAAAGAACUUGGAAAAGCAAUGGCUGGGAUAGGCGAAACUGAUUUAGAAAGAGGUGGUGACUUGAAUUUCUUCAGCAUCGAGCAAGCCAAAGCAAUCAUUGAUUACUUGACUAUCAGCUUAUUUAAGGACUAUAAAGUAUAUGAAUACCUCUUCCACAGUGAUAGUGAAGAACUUGUGAUAAGUAAUGAGUAUGUGACUGAACUUGCCCAACUUGCAGUUCCCUCCUUCCCUGCUUUGCUGGAAGAAGGCACACCUUCAGAUACCUGUUCGUCACUCAUAAUAUCACCAACAGCUGCAGAGACUGAAUCUAAGGGGUCUGAUCAAAACGGUUACGUGGAAGAGCCCUGUCCAGAGCCAGAGUCCUUCGAAGCAGAUGCUGUGGGUGCUGUCACUGCUAAAGAUCAGAUGUCUGCAGUGGAUGAAAUCCCAAAUGAAAUUAUUGGCAACCUUGAGGAUGAAAGCAUCCUAUGGCCAAACACAGGAUGGAUGUUGGGAAUGAAGACAAGUGAAAUGGAAAUUCCCAGAGCUAAGGAGAAAAGGGAACUCAAACAGAAGUGGAAGGUCGGAGCUGAUCCCUAUGCCUCAGUGAAGACACAGGCUGAACCUCACAGGGGAAUUUUCACAGCCACACCAGACUGUGUGGAGGUUACUCACAGGAGGAAUGCGAUUCGUGGCCUCUCUAGGCCAUGUCGACACCUCUUGACAAACAUGAGUCGAUGCCAUGGGAUUAAUAUUCACUUUGGGGGCCUCUGAAAAUCUGAGGAAAAAUCUUGAAAUCUUUUUCCUUAGAAUUCCAGUGGUGGUAAUGGAGAGUUUUAAAUCCAGAAGGAUUCAGACAAGGGGAUUCAACACCUGGUUUGUGUAGGAAAAAGACAUUAUGAAACGCGGACCUUUGUAGCCAGGACAUAGCCCUGGGUGAUAAGCCCUGCAGAUCAGCAGAAAUUAUGAACCAUAAAAGCUUGUGUAUGGGUUCAGAGCCUUGAUUUGAAUUUUUUGGGCUUGUUUGUAUUUCAAAAGCAAAGCCACUGAAUUACAUCUUGAAAACAAUAUUCCAGCACAGGUUUCCUCAAAACACAGCCCAGGUUUGAUCAAAAGGUUCUCGAGUUUGCAAACCCUUUGACAACCCUGAUGCGUGUUUACACUUUCAAAGUAAACCCCAAACCAAGUGCAUUUGCAUGGACUAGCAUCUUGCUAUAGAGCUUGAUAUUUAUUUUCACCCCAGUUCUUGCCAAAAUCCCAUCCGUGCCCUGAGACUAGGCUUUCAAGGCUGGCAUUCUAAUAUUUUUAUCGACAAACAUGCCAGCAGGCACAAAAAAUAAAUAUCUACACCCAAACAAAAUAUUUAGCUGUAUUUGUAAAACCCCAAAUAAAAAGCAAUUUUGUAUUUUGGUUUAAUCUAAUAUCCAUUCAUGUGGAUCAGACUGCACAGUGUUUGCUUGUCCAAACCACUAAGAUAAUCCUUACUGCCUAUAGAAAUACAUUUUAAUUACAGAGCAAUAAAUAUUGUGUCUUUUUUUUGCUGCGCGCAUUUUUUUUUAUCAGCAGACAAAAGCUGACAUUUAUUUUACUGAUAGCCCUAUAUUUCCCCUCCCGCUACCACCGCAGCAGAAUUUCCCUCGCCCAAGGAAAUUGAGAGGAUCAGAGCACAUCUGAUGUUCCAUUAAUUUAAAACGGCUGCCAGGACUUGCAUAUUGUAGCAGCUUUAAAGUGAUUGAAUUUGGAUUAUUUCAAACUCUGGAAAGUCCUGCCUUGCCUGACAGAGGCGUAUCGAGUGACAAAAUAAAAUACAGCCACGGUACAAGAGUGCCGGCGUGUCCAUCCAUACAUAUUCUCCUCCUGGCGCGUACAGCCUUGCAACAGGCGGAUUAAAAGCAAUGGAAAGAAGAAUCUUAAUUUUUGUUAUUUUUGGGAACAGACCCCUUUUUGAGGCUGUAGCCCAGCGAGGUGGAGACACCUGGUGUUUGCUGUGGCAAAUUCACUGCAGACACGGGCAGGGGGAGAGGAGAGCAGGGUGAGGGGCUCAGCCCCAGGCUGCUGCCUUCCUCCUCCUCCUCCUCCUCUUCCUAAGGCACCAGGGCCCCUCACACAACAGGGCUGUGUGUGUUGUGGGGGGAUCUUCACCCUGUCAGCUGCUAAAUUAAAGCGCUAACUUUCGGGUAAUAACUAUUUCAUAAUGCUUAGAGAACAGCUCAUGUAACGUAGUUCCAAAAGGAGAAAAAAAAAGAAAAAGUUUACGCUCGGCCAAAGGAAUAUUAAAGUUUCACUACAAAAGAAAUAUUGUGGCUGCCAAGGCCUGAUUACUCAUGAAAUCCACGGCAUUAUCAUCAUCCAUCACUGCCAUUCUUUUAAUGACCAAACGAAAAAGAGAGGCAUCAAAGUUGGAGUGGUGUCGUCGUCCUUUUUCGAGAGCAAAGCUCCCUAAAUAUAGGAUGAAUACUAGAGCUCGACAUAUUUUUUUACCAAAAAAAUUGAAAAAUCCUUUGAAUGAAUCACAAAACAUAUGUUAUGUUUUGCUGUAAAAGCCAUGAAGUUUAUGCAGUGCUCUAUCAUGGUGACUGCUUGGCUUUUCAUGCAUUCCUAAAUUACCAUGUAAUCUAAAACCUUGUUUUCAGCUGCUCUAUAUUGGAAAGUCCCUUGCAAUAAUCAGGAUGAUUACAGGCUAGUGUGGAGAACAAAACUUGUUUGUAUUAUUGCUAAUAAAAAUGCAGUUUAUCAGAAAUUUUACCUUUUCAAGGGAAAAAUAAAAAUAAUAAUAAUAAACUCGCUCUCCUCCCUUGCUGGAAAUAUUCUAAGCAUGGAAUUAAUUUUGGCCGCUCUAUGACUUAAGAACACAUGGAUACUUGGUGUAAAAAUAUGUUUCUUUCCUGUAGGGACUUGACUCUAAUUGGUGUGCCAAAACCAUCUCACAGAGAUUUCAUUGUCUUAUCUACUUACAUCAUCUUAAUGCGAUUUUAUUUUACUCUGUCAAAGUCAUAUUAAUGUAAAUGUGUUCUUGAUAGCAAACAGAGUUCUUUUUUAUGCUAAACGGGAUUCAGCUGACUCUAAUAAAACAGCUUGCAAUCCAUUAGGCUAUAACUGUAAUAUAGUUAUUUUGUUUCCCAAAUAAAG